This 984-nucleotide ribosomal RNA is filed under the name uncultured bacterium. RNAcentral's name for it is "bacterial SSU rRNA". It matches the Rfam family "Bacterial small subunit ribosomal RNA", at positions 505 to 1501 of the family's 1533-position model. The record is from RNAcentral.
GUGCCAGCAGCCGCGGUAAAACGUAGGAGGCAAGCGUUAUCCGGAUUUACUGGGCGUAAAGCGCGUGCAGGUGGUUCGGUGAGUUGGAUGUGAAAGCUCCUGGCUCAACUGGGAGAGGUCGCUCAAUACUACCGGACUCGAGAGUGGUAGAGGGAGGUGGAAUUCCCGGUGUAGUGGUGAAAUGCGUAGAUAUCGGGAGGAACACCAGUGGCGAAAGCGGCCUCCUGGACCAUUUCUGACACUCAGACGCGAAAGCUAGGGUAGCAAACGGGAUUAGAGACCCCGGUAGUCCUAGCUGUAAACGAUGUGAACUUGGCGUCGGUGGUGUAAAAACCAGCGGUGCCGAAGCUAACGCGAUAAGUUCACCGCCUGGGGACUACGGCCGCAAGGUUAAAACUCAAAGGAAUUGACGGGACCCCGCACAAGCAGCGGAGCGUGUGGUUUAAUUCGAUGUUACACGAAGAACCUUACCCAGGUUUGACAUGUUGGUGGUAGGGAAGCGAAAGCAGACCGACCCGCAAGGGAGCCUUCACAGGUGUUGCAUGGCUGUCGUCAGCUCGUGUCGUGAGAUGUUCGGUUAAGUCCGCUAACGAGCGCAACCCUCGCUGUAUGUUACAAGUGUCAUACGGGACCGCCGGUAUCAAGCCGGAGGAAGGUGGGGAUGACGUCAAGUCAGCAUGGCCUUUAUAUCUGGGGCUACACACACGCUACAAUGGUCGGUACAAUGGGUUGCUAAGCCGCGAGGUAGAGCCAAUCCCCAAAACCGGCCUCAGUUCAGAUCGUAGGCUGCAACUCGCCUGCGUGAAGUCGGAGUUGCUAGUAAACGCGCGUCAGCUAUAGUGCGUUGAAUACGUUCCCGGGGUUUGUACACACCGCCCGUCACGUCAUGGGAGCUGGCAACACCUGAAGCCGGUAGCCUAACCGCAAGGAGGGCGCCGUCGAAGGUGGGGUCGGUGACUGGGACGAAGUCGUAACAAGGUAACC